AACGAACGCUGGCGGCAGGCCUAACACAUGCAAGUCGAGCGGACCCUUCGGGGUUAGCGGCGGACGGGUGAGUAACGCGUGGGAAUAUGCCCUUCUCUACGGAAUAGUCCUGGGAAACUGGGGGUAAUACCGUAUACGCCCUUUGGGGGAAAGAUUUAUCGGGGAAGGAUUAGCCCGCGUUGGAUUAGGUAGUUGGUGGGGUAAUGGCCUACCAAGCCGACGAUCCAUAGCUGGUUUGAGAGGAUGAUCAGCCACACUGGGACUGAGACACGGCCCAGACUCCUACGGGAGGCAACAGUGGGGAAUCUUAGACAAUGGGGGCAACCCUGAUCUAGCCAUGCCGCGUGAGUGAUGAAGGCCUUAGGGUUGUAAAGCUCUUUCAGCUGGGAAGAUAAUGACGGUACCAGCAGAAGAAGCCCCGGCUAACUCCGUG
This 433-nucleotide ribosomal RNA is filed under the name uncultured bacterium. RNAcentral's name for it is "partial 16S ribosomal RNA". It matches the Rfam family "Bacterial small subunit ribosomal RNA", at positions 29 to 507 of the family's 1533-position model. The record is from RNAcentral.